UACCUUUGUUNNUUUGGCGGGCCGCCUNNCUACUGGCUUCGGCUGGUAAGUGCCCGCCAGAGAACCCAAAACCCUGAAUUAUUAGUGUCGUCUGAGUAAAAUAUUUAAUAUUUAAAACUUUCAACAACGGAUCUCUUGGCUCUGGCAUCGAUGAAGAACGCAGCGAAAUGCGAUAAGUAAUGUGAAUUGCAGAAUUCANUGAAUCAUCGAAUCUUUGAACGCACAUUGCGCCCCUUGGUAUUCCGAGGGGCAUGCCUAUUCGAGCGUCAUUAUCACCCCUCAAGCCUAGCUUGGUGUUGAGACCUGCUGUCAAGGCAGUCUCUAAAAUCAGUGGCAGUGCUGUCAGGCUCUAAGCGUAGUAAAUUCAUCGCUAUAGACACCUGGUGGCCACUCGCCAGAACCCCCCCAUUUUUUAAUGAUUGACCUCGGAUUAGGUAGGGAUACCCGCUGAACUUAAGCAUAUCAAUAAGCGGAGGAAAAGAAACCAACAGGGAUUGCCUCAGUAACGGCGAGUGAAGCGGCAAAAGCUCAAAUUUGAAAUCUGGCUCUUUUAGGGUCCGAGUUGUAAUUUGUAGAAGAUGUUUCGGGUGUGGCUCCGGUUUAAGUUCUUUGGA
Molecule: ribosomal RNA, 614 nt
Filed under: uncultured fungus
Lineage: Eukaryota; Fungi
Description: eukaryotic LSU rRNA
Rfam family: 5.8S ribosomal RNA (bases 116-269)
Source: RNAcentral